GACGAACGCUGGCGGCGUGCCUAAUACAUGCAAGUUGAGCGAUGAAGAUUGGUGCUUGCACCAAUUUGAAGAGCAGCGAACGGGUGAGUAACGCGUGGGGAAUCUGCCUUUGAGCGGGGGACAACAUUUGGAAACGAAUGCUAAUACCGCAUAACAACUUUAAACAUAAGUUUUAAGUUUGAAAGAUGCAAUUGCAUCACUCAAAGAUGAUCCCGCGCUGUAUUAGCUAGUUGGUGAGGUAAAGGCUCACCAAGGCGAUGAUACAUAGCCGACCUGAGAGGGUGAUCGGCCACAUUGGGACUGAGACACGGCCCAAACUCCUACGGGAGGCAGCAGUAGGGAAUCUUCGGCAAUAGACGAAAGUCUGACCGAGCAACGCCGCGUGAGUGAAGAAGGUUUUCGGAUCGUAAAACUCUGUUGGUAGAGAAGAACGUUGGUGAGAGUGGAAAGCUCAUCAAGUGACGGUAACUACCCAGAAAGGGACGGCUAACUACGUG
Molecule: ribosomal RNA, 497 nt
Filed under: uncultured bacterium
Lineage: Bacteria
Description: partial 16S ribosomal RNA
Rfam family: Bacterial small subunit ribosomal RNA
Source: RNAcentral